Molecule: long non-coding RNA, 546 nt
Filed under: Vigna radiata
Lineage: Eukaryota; Viridiplantae; Streptophyta; Magnoliopsida; Fabales; Fabaceae
Description: long non-coding RNA (VRAD_LNC003793)
Source: RNAcentral
UAUAUAUAUAUAUAUAUAUAUAUAUAUAGGUUUUUUUUCUUUUGCUGUGAUGUUUAUAUAUGAAUUAUUGUUUCUCUUAGAAUGUUUAUAAAUUAGUGAAAAAUGGAAUCGAGAUGUUGAGACUUGGGAAAAGACACAUGUGUUGUGUUGAUCUAUAUGAGGUAAGUUACUAGUACUACUAAUAUAUUUCGAAUGUGCAUUUUCCACUACACUUGCUGGAAAACUUUAUUAUUGUGCAUGAAUCACAAGGUGGAUUGACGAAGAGGUUUCAUACUCAAAGCAACAGGGCAGGCAAGUUUAUGUUAUGCUAAUGUUAUAAUGGAUAUAAAAGGUGAGUACCUGUAAUUUCUUAAAAGUUUUGGAAACUCUUCAUCGAGUCGCAUAUGCUCUUAAGUUUUAGCAUAAUAGUAAUUGAGUCACAUGUGCUAUGUUUUGUUAAGUACAUAAGAGGAUUGCUUAUUGAAAAUAUAUGGUUUUGACUGAUGAUAAUAUCAGUCAAAUUAUUUCAUUUUUUUACUUUAAACAACACUAAUCCACAAAUAUGAA